CACGGGGCCAGCCCCAAGUCAGGAGGCUCACACCUGGAUAAAAGAUAUGUAGGUGGCAAGGUGAAACUGUUAUGGAAAUUGAGCCAGAUGAGCUAUAGCGUAGAAGAAAAAAAUGGAUUUUGGAUCAGUGGGACCUGUUCACAAAUUCAAGUUCCAUUAUGACUAGCUGUCUGAUCUUGAGACACAGCAUCUAUAAGGAAUGAUAACUGUUAGACUUCUACUCUUCAGUUCCAGCAACUUGCAGAGCCAACUGUAAUACAAAUACUGAGUGCAGUCUCUCAGAAGCAGCAAAGAAGAGGGGGAGGUUACAAGAACCCCAUGAAAAGUGGCACUGUGACUGAGAAACACCUGCUGACAGAAUUCCAGUUGGUUCACUUAAAAAACGUUUCUUGCAUAUCCCUAUUUUUAGUUACCGUUCUUUAUUUUUCACAGGCUCUAACACAUGAUGAUUAUUCUUGCCUAUAAAUCUGCGAUAUUUUCAACUUGGACUUAUGACAAAUAUUUCGAGACACUGGCUUUACUCUGCCUUCUCCAUGACUGAAAAUUUUAGAG
Molecule: long non-coding RNA, 552 nt
Filed under: Equus asinus (donkey)
Lineage: Eukaryota; Metazoa; Chordata; Mammalia; Perissodactyla; Equidae
Description: lncRNA (ENSEASG00005038143.1)
Source: RNAcentral